This 250-nucleotide ribosomal RNA is filed under the name uncultured bacterium. RNAcentral's name for it is "partial 16S ribosomal RNA". It matches the Rfam family "Bacterial small subunit ribosomal RNA", at positions 810 to 1058 of the family's 1533-position model. The record is from RNAcentral.
UGGGAACUAGUUGUGGGGUCCAUUCCACGGAUUCCGUGACGCAGCUAACGCAUUAAGUUCCCCGCCUGGGGAGUACGGCCGCAAGGCUAAAACUCAAAGGAAUUGACGGGGACCCGCACAAGCGGCGGAGCAUGCGGAUUAAUUCGAUGCAACGCGAAGAACCUUACCAAGGCUUGACAUACACCAGAACGGGCCAGAAAUGGUCAACUCUUUGGACACUGGUGAACAGGUGGUGCAUGGCUGUCGUCAG